Molecule: ribosomal RNA, 425 nt
Filed under: uncultured bacterium
Lineage: Bacteria
Description: partial 16S ribosomal RNA
Rfam family: Bacterial small subunit ribosomal RNA
Source: RNAcentral
GUGGGGAAUCUUAGACAAUGGGGGAAACCCUGAUCUAGCCAAGCCGCGUGAUCGAUGAAGGCCUUAGGGUUGUAAAGAUCUUUCAGCUGGGAAGAUAAUGACGGUACCAGCAGAAGAAGCCCCGGCUAACUCCGUGCCAGCAGCCGCGGUAAUACGGAGGGGGCUAGCGUUGUUCGGAAUUACUGGGCGUAAAGCGCACGUCGGCGGAUUGGAAAGUUGGGGGUGAAAUCCCGGGGCUCAACCCCGGAACUGCCUUCAAAACUCCCAGUCUUGAGGUCGAGAGAGGUGAGUGGAAUUCCGAGUGUAGAGGUGAAAUUCGUAGAUAUUCGGAGGAACACCAGUGGCGAAGGCGGCUCACUGGCUCGAUACUGACGCUGAGGUGCGAAAGCGUGGGGAGCAAACAUGAUUAGAAACCCGUGUAGUCC